UGGCGACGGGUGAGUAAUGUCUGGGGAAACUGCCUGAUGGAGGGGGAUAACUACUGGAAACGGUAGCUAAUACCGCAUAACGUCGCAAGACCAAAGAGGGGGACCUUCGGGCCUCUUGCCAUCGGAUGUGCCCAGAUGGGAUUAGCUAGUAGGUGGGGUAACGGCUCACCUAGGCGACGAUCCCUAGCUGGUCUGAGAGGAUGACCAGCCACACUGGAACUGAGACACGGUCCAG
Molecule: ribosomal RNA, 235 nt
Filed under: uncultured bacterium
Lineage: Bacteria
Description: partial 16S ribosomal RNA
Rfam family: Bacterial small subunit ribosomal RNA
Source: RNAcentral